This 121-nucleotide ribosomal RNA is filed under the name Pteropus alecto (black flying fox). The record is from RNAcentral. Lineage: Eukaryota; Metazoa; Chordata; Mammalia; Chiroptera; Pteropodidae.
GUCUACAGCUGUGCCACCCUGAACAAGCCCGAUCCUGGAUGAUCUCAGAAGCUAAGCAGGGUCAGGCCUGGGUAGUACUUGGAUGGGAGAGACCACCUAGGAAAACCAGGUGCUGUAGGCA